This 112-nucleotide transfer RNA is filed under the name Colletotrichum sublineola. It matches the Rfam family "tRNA". Rfam says of the family: Transfer RNA (tRNA) molecules are approximately 80 nucleotides in length. Their secondary structure includes four short double-helical elements and three loops (D, anti-codon, and T loops). The record is from Rfam by way of RNAcentral. Lineage: Eukaryota; Fungi; Ascomycota; Sordariomycetes; Glomerellales; Glomerellaceae.
GUCAACGUGCCAGAGUGGUUAAUGGGCUGCCCUGCUAUGCUGUCUUGAGCGAUCAAGACCCCCAGCUGAGGCAGUGGCUUCGGUCGCGCAAGUUCGAAUCUUGUCGUUGACG